AUGACUUUUGUAUUGCCCAUCCAACGUAAAACACCCCUUUAAGCUCCCUCUCAUGCUUUUACAUGGUCACUGCGAUAGAAAUCGUUCCUCAAUCCGUACGAUAGCCUUAAUACCCAGUUCUUCUUCGGAUCAAAAAAUGGCUACAACAACAACGACAUUGCUCUGUUCUCUCUGCACAAUGCACAGCCCACAAACGACGUAAAUUUGUCCUGCCUCUGAUUGCAAGAUGUAGCCGCGCGCGUAGGACUCAAGUUUACGUCAUCCCAAUGUUUCUUACAGAUAUAAAGAAGGAGGCUCAAUAGUUCAUUUCUAUUCAGCAUGCAGGAUAUAAAGGAGGCUCAAGAGUUGAUUCUUAAAUUCUAAAUGAAAAAGGAUUUGUUUUACUAUAAAAUGAUUUGUUUUGUAGUGAUUCAAUUUCCAUGUCUUAACAACGAUCAAUUACAAUUAUAAAGAAUUUUACAAUAAAUACACUA
Molecule: long non-coding RNA, 473 nt
Organism: Lotus japonicus
Lineage: Eukaryota; Viridiplantae; Streptophyta; Magnoliopsida; Fabales; Fabaceae
Exons: 3
Source: RefSeq, a predicted model, not a curated record